This 406-nucleotide ribosomal RNA is filed under the name uncultured bacterium. RNAcentral describes it as "bacterial SSU rRNA". It matches the Rfam family "Bacterial small subunit ribosomal RNA", at positions 29 to 418 of the family's 1533-position model. The record is from RNAcentral.
AACGAACGCUGGCGGCGUGGAUAAGACAUGCAAGUCGAACGGAACUUUCAGCUGUAGCAAUACAGUUGAAAGUUUAGUGGCGAACGGGUGCGUAACACGUGGGCAAUCUGCCGAGAAGUGGGGGAUAGCUCGCCGAAAGGCGAAUUAAUACCGCAUGUGAUCAGGAAGACAUCUUUCCAACAUUAAAGCCGGGGUUAAACCUGGCGCUUCUUGAUGAGCCCGCGGCCUANCAGCUAGUUGGUGAGGUAACGGCUCACCAAGGCUUUGACGGGUAGCUGGUCUGAGAGGACGAUCAGCCGGAUUGGGACUGAGAUACGGCCCAGACUCCUACGGGGGGCAGCAAUUAGGAAUCUUGCACAAUGGGGAAACCCUGAUGCAGCGACGCCGCGUGAAGGACGAAGGCCUU